Molecule: long non-coding RNA, 385 nt
Filed under: Bos taurus (domestic cattle)
Lineage: Eukaryota; Metazoa; Chordata; Mammalia; Artiodactyla; Bovidae
Description: long non-coding RNA NONBTAT000571
Source: RNAcentral
UUUUUUAAAAAGCUUGCAAACAAAUAUAUAAAGACAUCAAACAUUUACAAAGAUUGUCAAUGAGUGAAUCAUUGAUUCAAUCCAGGUGAAAUAAAGUUUAAAAAAUUGUUGACAAAGGUUUAAAAUGAGUAAGCUGAGAUUAUAUACAAGGAUAAACAUAAAAACAGAGCAUAGGAAAUUAUUAAAUAAAAUAGGCAUAAGUGAUAAGAUAUACAGUAAAAAAAAAGCUAAUUAGAAAUUGGAAAUGAAAAGGUCAUUGAAAUAAAAAUAUAAUCAGUACACUAUUGUCUAGUACAGAAGAAGUCAAAGAAGCUUUUUAAUAUGAAAGUGCAGUUAAAAAGUACAGGCAACACAUGGAGAGGCUCCAACAUUUAUCUAGUGGCUG